This 68-nucleotide transfer RNA is filed under the name Buergeria japonica (Japanese Buerger's frog). RNAcentral's name for it is "tRNA-Phe". It matches the Rfam family "tRNA". From Rfam's summary of the family: Transfer RNA (tRNA) molecules are approximately 80 nucleotides in length. Their secondary structure includes four short double-helical elements and three loops (D, anti-codon, and T loops). Lineage: Eukaryota; Metazoa; Chordata; Amphibia; Anura; Rhacophoridae. The record is from RNAcentral.
ACCCUCAUAGCUUAAUAAAAGUAUAGCGCUGAAAACGCUAAGAUGAACCCUAAAAAGUUCUGUGGGUA